This is a non-coding RNA of Meleagris gallopavo (turkey), 486 nucleotides long. Lineage: Eukaryota; Metazoa; Chordata; Aves; Galliformes; Phasianidae. The record is from RefSeq and is a predicted model, not a curated record.
GAUAUUUGGCGCUCAUUCUCCAAUCGUUGGAUUUCACCAUCAUCCGGUGUGGAAUUUGUGCCUGUUUUUCCUCCCGUGUACACAUCUACUGUUCCACCUCACGCUGGGAAGAGCUGGAUAGAUAAAAGGCUGCCGAGCUGCAAAAUAUACCUAAAUAAUGCAUUUGCUCUGGAUUCGGCGUGGAUACAUCCUGAGGAACCGCGUCUCUUCCAGGGCAGCGAGAAGCCUCUGCUAAUGACAAAUCAGGUGGCGAUGGCCGUUGCCAGGCCAGCUCCUGCCUCCAGGCCUCUUCCCACAGUGGUGCUGGCACCUCCGCUGAUGCCAGGUGGCUGCCGGCGCGGUCCCAGCCCAGUGGGCAGCCCUCCAAGCCUGGCGCUGCUGGCAGUGGAGGCUGAAGCCCCCCCAGGACCACCCCCACCCAGCAUCCCGCAGUGCCGCCUGCUCACCCUCUCACCCCUCAGGAUCCCAGUGCUGGGCUCCCCAUUC